UGUUCGAUCAGCACUUAUGCU
RNAcentral lists this non-coding RNA (21 nucleotides) under Arabidopsis thaliana (thale cress). The record is from RNAcentral. Lineage: Eukaryota; Viridiplantae; Streptophyta; Magnoliopsida; Brassicales; Brassicaceae.